This is a long non-coding RNA of Pseudophryne corroboree (corroboree frog), 1377 nucleotides long. RefSeq lists it as uncharacterized. The transcript has 6 exons. Lineage: Eukaryota; Metazoa; Chordata; Amphibia; Anura; Myobatrachidae. The record is from RefSeq and is a predicted model, not a curated record.
UAGUGUAACCCGGCCCUAUUGUGUGCCCACUGAAAAAACUUGUAUCAGAUGAGAGUUCUUCACUUUUUGCAUCAGACUAUAGCAAGAGACUGCAGCACAGAGAAGCAGGGCCGUAACUAGCUGUGUGCCAGUGGUGCAUUGCCCACAGCACACCAUCUGGCAGCACCACCUGGCACUCGAACGGCCGCUCUCUCUCUCUCUAGCCACUCACCACUCAUGACUGGUCCCCGGAGAUCGCUGUUGCAGCCCUGCCCUGUAUGUGGUGUGCGCUUAGCUCCUCUGCUGCUGAGCGCACCCACUAUACAAAUACAAACUGCAGCUAGGAAGCCGCCGCCAGCUUUACCUUCUCCCACUCCCUGGAUGCUCUGCCCCCACCCCCCAUGCAGUGUCUCCAGGGACUUGGACAGUCCUUGCUGACUCCCACAGUGUGUUCGGCCUCAGCCCUCCCUCAUGCUGGCAGUGGACAGGGGAGGAGGACGGUGGAGCUGACAGGAGGAUGCGCUGGACGGAGGCCAGGAGCGGAAACCGGUGAGAUGGAGAAGCUAUGGGUGGAACGCAGCAGCUGCAGGUAGCAGUCCUUUACACGGAGAGGUUGUGCUGGUCUCCACCUCGUUAACUGCACUAGCUGAACUACCAUCCUGUUCUGUUCAUGCCAAACCUCACUUUUACGUCAUCAAUUGAACUCCUGCCCAUCCCAGAAAACCACAUUUAAAAGGCUCAUUUAUUACAUGAGAGGAAACUGUUUCUCUUACUUCACUGUGUGGACAAGAAGAAGUGGAGACUGAGCAGAAGGAAUAUCAGAAUUUCAAGAAGAACAUUUAGUAUAAUGGAAACCACGGCACAUCCUGAGGAGCCAACACUGGAAAUAGCGAUCUGUUCUAGGUCACCACCGAUACUUCUGAUCAUUUUGCCGAUCCUGGCAGUAGCCGUGAUGGUAGCUGUGUGUAUAUGCUGCUGCGUUUGGAAGAAGAAGAAAAGAAAAGCUGCACAACUUUCCCAGGACAAUGUCCCCCCGGUUUCUGUAUACGCAAAGACGUCACGGACCCCGUCAAAGCAAAAUGGUUCCUUAGAUGAGAAAUUUCUGAUCAUGAAUGAGACCGCCUCUAAGGAAGUCUAAGCUCCAGAGUAAUGGGAACAGCUGGAAGAAAUGAAUGUAUAUUUGGGCACUCAUCCGCCACUGUUGUUCACUGUGCAUAGUGCACUGACUAUAAAGCAGCAUGUGAAUCGACGAUUGUGUUCUGCUCACACGCAACUCACGGUAUAGUGCUAUGGUAUGUUCUAAAAUGCCGCACUCAUUAACGACACAUCAGUACUGACAUAUGAAUGGACUCUGAGUACAUACAGUAUACUGGUAAAUAAAAAUGUUUAUAGAAGACA